RNAcentral lists this small RNA (242 nucleotides) under Pongo abelii (Sumatran orangutan). Its description in RNAcentral is "processed transcript". Lineage: Eukaryota; Metazoa; Chordata; Mammalia; Primates; Hominidae. The record is from RNAcentral.
GAGGUGUGGUCCCUGUGAUCUGGGCCAGCCAGCCUCUGGGCCAGGGAGGAGGGCGAAGCUCUCAGGUGCAGAUUCACUUUAUAGGAACAGCUUCAGCUUCAGUGAUGAAAAACUGAAUUCUCCAACAGACUCUACCCCAGCUCUUCUCUCUCCCACUGUCACUCCUCAGAAAGCUAAAUUAGGAGACACAAAAGAGCUAGAAGCCUUCAUUGCUGAUCUUGACAAAACUUUAGCAAGUAAGU